RNAcentral lists this ribosomal RNA (253 nucleotides) under uncultured bacterium. RNAcentral's name for it is "partial 16S ribosomal RNA". It matches the Rfam family "Bacterial small subunit ribosomal RNA", at positions 524 to 776 of the family's 1533-position model. The record is from RNAcentral.
UACGUAGGGGGCAAGCGUUGUCCGGAAUCAUUGGGCGUAAAGAGCGCGUAGGCGGCCCAGUAAGUCCGCUCUGAAAGUCAGGGGCUCAACCCCUGAAUGCGGGUGGAUACUGCUGGGCUAGAGUCCGGAAGAGGCGAGUGGAAUUCCUGGUGUAGCGGUGAAAUGCGCAGAUAUCAGGAGGAACACCAGUGGCGAAAGCGGCUUCCUGGUCCAGCACCGACGUUCAGGCACGAAAGCGUGGGGAGCAAACAGG